Molecule: long non-coding RNA, 236 nt
Filed under: Lathyrus oleraceus (garden pea)
Lineage: Eukaryota; Viridiplantae; Streptophyta; Magnoliopsida; Fabales; Fabaceae
Description: Pisum sativum (pea) long non-coding RNA (PSAT_LNC027657)
Source: RNAcentral
UUUUUUUUUCUGGUUCGCCGGGAUGCCCAUUUUUUCCUGGACUAUUUUAUUCUUUUCGUCCAGCGGGUCUCUUAUACGAAGUAUUUUUUAACUGCAUCCGCAUUCACAGGGGAUGGAAAAUUCUCACCAUCCAUGGUCGUCAACAACAAGGCUCCGCCAGAGAAAACCUUCUUGACCACGAAUGGACCUUCAUAAUUGGGUGCCCACUUGCCCCGACGAUCGUUCUAAGGAGGAAG